This 72-nucleotide transfer RNA is filed under the name Heterocephalus glaber (naked mole-rat). It matches the Rfam family "tRNA". Rfam says of the family: Transfer RNA (tRNA) molecules are approximately 80 nucleotides in length. Their secondary structure includes four short double-helical elements and three loops (D, anti-codon, and T loops). Lineage: Eukaryota; Metazoa; Chordata; Mammalia; Rodentia; Bathyergidae. The record is from Rfam by way of RNAcentral.
UGGGGUGUAACUCAGUUGCACAGUGCCUGCCUGGGAAGCACGAGGUCCUGAGUUCAAUUCCCAGUACCAAAA